GUCUGGUCGGAGUGUAGUGGUGUUUACAACUAAUUGAUCACAACCAGUUACAGGUUUCUUGGUUCCUUCUCCACUCCCACUGCUUCACCUGAUUAGCCUAUA
This is an unclassified non-coding RNA of Cercocebus atys (sooty mangabey), 102 nucleotides long. It matches the Rfam family "Y RNA". From Rfam's summary of the family: Y RNAs are components of the Ro ribonucleoprotein particle (Ro RNP), in association with Ro60 and La proteins. The Y RNAs and Ro60 and La proteins are well conserved, but the function of the Ro RNP is not known. In humans the RNA component can be one of four small RNAs -- hY1, hY3, hY4 and hY5. The record is from Ensembl. NCBI's taxonomy places the organism in Eukaryota, Metazoa, Chordata, Mammalia, Primates, Cercopithecidae.